RNAcentral lists this ribosomal RNA (114 nucleotides) under Lepisosteus oculatus (spotted gar). Lineage: Eukaryota; Metazoa; Chordata; Actinopteri; Semionotiformes; Lepisosteidae. The record is from RNAcentral.
GCCAGCAGUCAUAUCACCCUGUAACUCACAACUGGCUACCCACUGAAGCUAAGCAGCGUUGAGCCUGGUCAGUACCUGGAUGAGAGACCUGGGAAGCUAUGGUUGCUGCUGGAA